AGAACGAACGCUGGCGGCAUGCCUAAUACAUGCAAGUCGAACGAACUCUUCGGAGUUAGUGGCGCACGGGUGCGUAACGCGUGGGAAUCUGCCCCUUGGUUCGGAAUAACAGUUGGAAACGACUGCUAAUACCGGAUGAUGACGAAAGUCCAAAGAUUUAUCGCCAAGGGAUGAGCCCGCGUAGGAUUAGCUAGUUGGUGAGGUAAAGGCUCACCAAGGCAACGAUCCUUAGCUGGUCUGAGAGGAUGAUCAGCCACACUGGGACUGAGACACGGCCCAGACUCCGUACGGGAGCAGCAGUAGGAAUAUGGACAAGUGGGACGAAAGCCUGAUCCAGCAAGUGCCGCGUGAGUAGAUGAAGGUCCGUUAAGGGUUAGUAA
Molecule: ribosomal RNA, 380 nt
Filed under: uncultured soil bacterium
Lineage: Bacteria
Description: bacterial SSU rRNA
Rfam family: Bacterial small subunit ribosomal RNA
Source: RNAcentral